This 788-nucleotide long non-coding RNA is filed under the name Malus domestica (apple). RNAcentral's name for it is "long non-coding RNA (MDOM_LNC010524)". Lineage: Eukaryota; Viridiplantae; Streptophyta; Magnoliopsida; Rosales; Rosaceae. The record is from RNAcentral.
AAGGAUUCCUGCUUGAAAUAGGAAAGUUAAGCCAAGGUUUCCUACUUUGGUUUGACCUUUCCUAAAUGCUCCUAAGUUUUAUCAACUUUGAAGGCAUCCUAAGCAUUCUAGGACAUCAAAUACACAUCUCUUGCACAUUGUGAACCCUUGCCGCACCCCCUUGACAUUUCCUCUUCCUUGCCAUGCAAGGGAGAGGGUUAUUUCCUGAUUCUAUGCUUUAAAACACAUUCCUAAUGUGUAGGAAUGUGUUUUAGGACCUUGCCGCAUAUUCCCUUGCCUUUUCCUUUAAUUUUCUGAUUGUGUUUCCUAUUUCUAGAAGCCUUAGACUUAAUUUCUGAUUACCUAAAUAACCUAGGGUUUUAAUUCCUGAAAUCCUUUAAAUAAACUCCCUUUGUGCAGCCACAAAUCAUCCAUAUACUGACCAUUCACGCCAAAACCUCCAUUCCACUCGCAGCCGCACCAUUCUACCACCAUUGACCCUAUUUACUGCCCAGAAACAUACCUAGCCGACCCCUACACCUAUCCUAACCAUAAACCCAUCCUUCUACAUCAUCCAUAACUCCCAAAACUCACCCCCAACCCUUGUGCCGCAGCAAAGGAGAGGAAGAAGAAGUGCUUGAAGGUUCUAGCUGUUCAACAUCGAAUCGUUGGAAUAUUUAGGUGUUCUCUUUCUUAUAUUUACAAUGUAUAAAUCUGUUUUCCUUUGUUUUGUGAACAGGAGGAACUAAGCCUUUUUGGCUAGGGGGUUAUUCAAUACCAUGAUUAUGCUUGCAAGAUGAAUUGAUUAC